Long non-coding RNA from Acipenser ruthenus (sterlet), 3024 nucleotides. RefSeq lists it as uncharacterized. The record is from RefSeq and is a predicted model, not a curated record. The transcript is spliced from 2 exons. NCBI's taxonomy places the organism in Eukaryota, Metazoa, Chordata, Actinopteri, Acipenseriformes, Acipenseridae.
UCUGGCUAAACUUUUGGUAUAAGGUUUUUGUUGAAGCAUGUUAAAGUUUAUUAUUCAGCAAGUAGAAAGAAUGUUUUGAGAGGAUUUUGUUUUUGUUUACACUGUGACUAAAAUACGUUUUAUUUAAUGUUUUCCUUCACAACUUUUAAUUAGCUUCUACUUUGUGGUAACUGCUGUCAUAACACCAAAUUGACCCCAAAAGCUUUUUUUUGUAACAUAAUUUAAAGUGUUUUUAUUGGCAUAGUCUGUAACAUUUAAGAUAAGAUCUCAUAAUAGUCAGUGCUAUUAUAAGAAACUCAGUUUAUAUACAUUUCUUUCAUGUAGUCAGAUAUAAUAGGGUUAAUUCCUCCUAUGCCAAAUCAGGGUUAAGGACAGACUUGCAGAAAAGCAGGAAGAAGCUUAUUGGUUAAUGGAAUGAACUUCACCUCUUAAACACUGAAAACAAACUAUUAGUUGCUUCACAUCAUGACCUAAAAUGCCUUGUAGCUUCUCACAUGCUUUUUGUUCAAGUAUAUUAAGCCCGCCCCCAACCCAACAUCUGUAUUUGGACAUUAAUUGGGAUAACUGACUGAGGAAGCACGAGGAUAGAAUGACAGACUACCUGAGAGAAAUGCAUUAUCAGUUUUUUGUUUUGUUUUGCAGAGUGAGACCUAAACUAUUUCCUUUGCUUUAAAGACUUUAGUUUAUGUAUUCCUCAUCACUAUUCCAUUUUAUUCUUAACAGGACUGCUUUUGUUUUAUUUGGAAGAAACUACUGACAAAACUUCAACAACUUGGACCCUAAUCAGUGGUCUGAUUUCCAGGGUAGUACCUACUGCUACAGUUUGAUAGUUUUGCAAUUCCUGUCAUGUCUCACUGUUCUGAAGAGAGUCUUGCUAAUUUUUAUGUGCAAGAACAUUAAGAUGUUUCCCCAAUCUCAUUCACGGACAGGGCAGACUGAAUACCUUUUUAAUGGGAAAUGAAUAUUACCCUCAUUUUCAUCUCACAGCUAUUCCCUUUGACUUUGCUUGGCAGCUCCCCACCAAUCACAGGGAGCCAGUAUCAUUAGAAGCUAUCUCUACAGAGGGUUUGGCAGCUCACAUUGGUUCAGACCGGGCAAAGACCCCAGGUUGGCAUGAAAAUGUUCCUGAAGGAAUAUCCUAAAAGCUUGGCUGACUACAAAGAUGCCUGUCUGGAUCUUCUCAUUCAGCUGAAAGCUAGUUCCACAAAUGCAAACCGGUGUGUUCGAUUAUGUUUAUCCAGCUGCUGUAAGACAUUCCUUGGAAGUGGGUCUCAUUACCCUAAACAUAUUGAAAAACAAAAUAAAAAAGAGAGAGAUUUUUUUAACAUUGGAAAAGAAAAAAAAGUAGUGCUCAGCAAAGUUGAGGGUUGCACUGUGGAGGAAAAAAGAAUGGCUGCAGGGAUCUUGUAGAUACUAAUAUGAACACAGAGGCUAUUAAUCAGAACUUCAAAGCUGCACAGACAAGCAGAAUGUCAACGGCUUGUAAUUAGUAGUUCAUGGUUACGUCAGCAGCAGUAUCUAUUCAAGAAUAGCCGUGUGUGAUAGGCAACUGAAAACAUCGGCGCAACUGGAUCAGCACAGCUGGUAUAAGUUACGGUGAAUGGAGAUGACGCCAGCCUGCACCUGCUUGUGAUGGAAGCCAAAUUCGCUCUGCACACAGUGAUCAAGGAAUGUGCAAUGGAACAGGAGUGUUUCUGUGGUCUUGCUGCAAGCACUAAUGGGAUGACAGAAGUGGCUUUUGGGCAUUCUGAAGGCUGCCCUCCGUUCUUUGAGCAAUGAAGCUGAAGUUUAUCGAAGUCUUUCCAGAUGUCCAUGGAAACAUUAUCACAAGGCUUUUCCUGGUUAAAUGAUUUAAAUUUACAACAAGUAAUAAAACAAAACACAGGGAUUACAGCUAUUAGAAAAUAAUUUUCCUUUUUUUUUUCUUUUUUACCUUGGUGAAUGAUUUGCUGGGGACCCUUCCGCUAAAAUUCUAAACAGUUCAGAGAAGUUUAAUAACAUAAGACCAUUGUUCAUAUUGUGAUGAUAUAAGUUAACUUUGUUUAAAAAAACAAACAAAAAAAACAACAACUUUUUUUAACUGUCAUCAUUGCGUUUAGGUUCUGUGAACAAUGAGCCUGUUGAAUGCAGCUUUGUGCAGAGAAAAGUCAUUUUUAGUAGCCUUUGUAUAACCCACGUCGUAUGAAUUACCUGCAUAAUCAGUUUCGUGUUACACCCAUUGUAUAACAUGUAUACCUAUUAUGUAACCAACCUUUACCAGGGUGCAAGUUAUUAGGCCAGUUAUGUUAUUUUUGUAUUAUUAAAAGCAAAUAAACACCCACACACUGCUUAUGGGUUACCCAAUAUGUUGCAGAACAUUUAUUUACAAAAACAACUUGGACUGGGCAAUUUGAAAACUUCCCUGACUAGUCAGACCAUAUAGAUGUCAGUCUCUUUUGAGGGUGGAUUCUACAUUACAGACCUACCACGCCGGAACCUGUUUCAUGUAUUGAUGUCCACGACUUCUCCAGCAUCCACAGUAGCUUGCCUUUGCUUUGUAAUUUACAAAAUACUGCUAGACAACAAUAAUAGAUAAUCUGAUGUCAACCUGCAACAGCUAAACAAUAAACAGACCAAAAUAAAUUGCAGUUAUUACUAUUGAUUUUCUAACCAGGCAACAUAUUAACUACUGUUGCUAUUUCCUUUCUUUUUUACUUAUGUGCUAAACAUGCUCAGAUGUAUUUCCUAAAGAGGUGAAUGGUUGUACAGUGACAUCCUACUGUGUAAAAAUAUGUACCCUUUUGUAGUUUGACAGCCAAAAGCCUCUUGAAACCUUAAUAUUUCCGUUCACAUUAUUUUAAACUUACAGUAUUCAGUAAAGUACUCUUAAAUAACAAAGCCCUUAUUAUGUAUGUAUGUAUGAUUUUUUACUGCCACCCACUGUCCCAUAAACUAUUUGAACCACAACAGCUUUCCACUGUGUUUUGAAGGUUUGUCCAAUGUUGCUUUUUUGAAAUCUUAAUAAAAAAUGCUUGUAUGAUGCAA